This 4645-nucleotide long non-coding RNA is filed under the name Podarcis lilfordi (Lilford's wall lizard). Lineage: Eukaryota; Metazoa; Chordata; Lepidosauria; Squamata; Lacertidae. The record is from RNAcentral.
UGUGCACCGACCCCUCUCACUCUCCAGGCUUCAGUGAAAGCCUGCAUUCGCCCCAUAGGACGCACACACAUUUCCCCUUCAUUUUUGGAGGGGGAAAAGUGCAUCCUAUAGGGCGAAAAAUAUGGUACUUGCCUAAACAGUGCCCUUCCAGCAUGCAUUGGAAGGAAAAUUACUUAACCCCUGGUUUGGAUUUUGGGCGUCCUGUUUAUAUGGACCGCUCUCUGUGGUUCUAGAGAGGAAUAAGCUACCAGCCUUGGCAAACCUGGUCCCUCCAGAUGUUGGACUGCACUCCCCAUCAUCCCCAGCCAAUGUGGCUGAUAGUCGGGGAUGAUGGGAGUUGUAGUUCAGCAACAGCUGGAGAGCGCCAACUUGGUCAAGGCUCAGCUAGCUUAUGUAGCCUCUUCUCCCUGGGCACUGCACGGCCCGAUCCAAUAUUGGUUUCACCAGCAUCUAGGGUCUCCCCCAACCUGAAAUCUGUGCCCUGAAAAAAUGCAGUUUUUCAAAAAAGCAGUUGGUCUAGAAGUGAAACAUUUUAAUCAGCUAUAUUGUGAUCUGCUACAUGUAAGCAGCAGCAAAAUUAAGCAAUACCUGUGUGCAUCAGAGUAGCCCUCCAGUAGAGAUGGAGAGGAAGACCAUUUCUUGGAGGGGUAGGCAGAGUAAGAUGCCUGACAAUAAAAAGGCAACUUCACAUUGAUUCUUUGGCUCUCGGAUUUCUUGAUGUUUACCUUCUGUGGGGUGCAGACAAAUAUGGAACCACCCCUUUCCAAGAGGAGCAGGGAAGAGCAGAUUCACAGAGAACCUCGGUACAGAUGUUGCUGCAUUGCGAGGGGAUGUUGGAAAUUGUGGUUUCCAUGUCCAAAGACCAACAUUUCCACACGUGGUACAGAUGGACCGAGUAUUGCGCUGUACCAUUUAGUUACCUUCUGUCCAUAGAGGCGAGAGUUGCACCAAGAUCUCCAGCAACUUUAAGCCUGGUCCUUUCUACUACUGACAUGUGGAAGAAAAUUUCACAAAUCAGGGCCUUUCUCAAGUACAGUGGUGCCCCGCAAGACGAAUGCCUCGCAAGACGGAAAAACCGCUAGACGAAAGGGUUUUCCGUUUUGGAGUUGCUUCGCAGGACGAAUUCUCCUAUGGGCUUGCUUCGCAAGACGAAAAUGUCUUGCGAGUCUUGAAAUUUUUUUUUCGCUUCCCCCCCCCUUUAUCUAAUCUGCUAAGCCUUUAAUAGCCUUUAAUAGCCUUUUAGCAGCUAAUCCCCUAAGCCUUUAAGCCUUUAAUAGCCGCUAAACCGCUAAUAGCGCUAAUAGCGCUAAUCCGUCAAUGGGCUUGCUUCGCAAGACGAAAAAACCGCUAGACGAAGACUCUCGCGGAACGGAUUAAUUUCGUCUUGCGAGGCACCACUGUAAGAUGUGUUUUUUAAGUUUGAUGGGUUUAGCCUCCAUAUUCUUAGGAUGGUUUUUCUCCUAACCUUUCUUUUGUUGGGGUGUCUAGCCUAACGGUGAAUGCUUCCCCCACCCCCCCGAAACAUGGACAAAGCUUUAUUCACAAACAUGGUGCAUCCACUGGCAUGCAUCAGGUAGGGUAAAGGUGGGGACUGUGUGGCUCCCAUCACCCCUGACCAUUAGGCAUGCUGGCUGGGGCCAGUGGGAAUCCACCAUCUGGAGAGCCCCAGAUUUGUCUCUGAGGUUUGCAUGAUGCAACUUCAAAUAUUGAGGCACUAUUUUAUUAUGUGGGGCAGAAGGACAGUGUGGGUGUGUUGGUUGAAUUGGAUAAAAUAGCAAGGAACUUUCUUCUAUAUCUGACCACAUGGUAGUGUUGGUAGAAGCUGUGCUGUGAAGGAAUAUCCUGCAGUGAAAACUCCUAGGGCAUAGAAUCGUCCAACCCCUGGCAGUGCAUUGAACCUGGCUCAAUGUGGGGCUCGAAUCCACAACCCUCAGAUUAAAGAGUCUCAUGCUCUACCGGGUUCAAGGCUAUUUGGUAGAAGAAAAUUCAGUAGUCGAAAAUUUCAAAAUCCAGUUGGAUUUUGAAAUUUUAUUGGAACGAACAAAACGUCACAGCUGGUAAGCACGUUCUCUAGAAGUCAUUGUCAGGCUGGAUGCCGAAGCUGAUUCCCUUUUUUAAAAAAACACACCAUAAAGCCCCACUGUUACUCAGCUCUUUCUUGUGUCUUCAAAAUUCUAAAAAAAAUACGUUGCAUACUUUUAAAAGGAACUUGCAGAUUACAUAUUUUUCCAUUGCUGCUGCUUCAUGUAGUGGUGAGAUCAUCCACAGAUGAUGAUGAUUUAUUUAUUGAUUUUAUAUACCGCCCUAUACCUGCAGGUCUCAGGUGGUUUACAGAAUAGAAUCAAAAUAUAAAGCCACAAAAUCCAUCAUCAAAAUAAAAAUAAUCCAACAACGCCCCCCAAAAACCCACAUUUUAAAAGGGCAUAGGACAAAGGAUCUGCGACGCUGACAGAUGCCCUGUGUCUCACCAAUAACUCUGCCACUUUGUAGUGUCCAUAUCAACAGGCAUUGUGGAGGGGCACUAAGCCACUAAUCAAAGAAAGAAACAUGUCAAAUAUGUCUAUUACCCUAAGGCUGAACUUCACCAAACUUGUAUACUGCAGGGUGUAAAAGGCAGGAAGCACGGCUUGAUCGGGGUUAGCUGUGCUCACUGUGAUUCUCUGAAGUGGGUCAUAAGGAUUCAGACCAGCCCUUCUUUGCCCUCAAUAUAUCCGCUCCCUAAACAUGGGGACUCAGUUUCACCCGUCACUCACUCAUGGCUCCAGCAUUGUGUCCAGGAGUGCUUCUUUUCUUCAGUCCGGAACCUGCUCCUGAUCAAUGUCAACUGCACAAAGGCUUUCAGUAAUACUUGCAAUUAAGUCAUUUAUUUCUGAGAGUUGAUAAACAUCGGCCUACUUCUCCCUUUUCCCCCUCCCCUCUCCCCUUUAAAUAUCCUAUUCCCGUUUUCAUUUCCCGAACCGCUUAUUUUCCUUGUGCCGCAGCUCAAAGAAAAUUUUAUACUUCAAUUCCACCGAUUGUUUUUUAUUUCAAUGGGACUUUCGUGCAGAAAUCUAGUACACUGUGGGGCGUUUGUUCUUCUACCACAUCACCUAAAAAGCAGCCUCCUCUGUAUUCCAGAGAGGAGGCAACCGGACGUAGGCCGGAUCCGUAGCUGUUUUGUUGUUUUAGAUGUGGUAGCCAGCUGCUGCCCUUGACCACUAGAGUGUCGAGGCCGUCAAACAAGGAACUCCCUCCCUGGGGACACUCUGAAAGAAUCUGCUGCUGCUUCCCUUUUGCACAAGCCUAGCAGAAAGCUCACUUUCUAUAUCCUGUAGCAGACCAAAGAGGAGAGGACAAAGUUAACUUCAGUCCCAGUGCACAGGACUCUGGAAUUGUGUGACUCUGUUCUUCUUGUUCAUAAGACAAAAGUCCAGGCAGAGGAGGAGGUGAUGGCAGACUCUUGUGGUGUCACAGGAGGAAAUGGACGCAUAGGAAGAAGCUACUGUGGUGCAUGUUUUCUGCUCCUUGCUAGGUGUCCAUUCUCUUCAAAAUACUACACUAUGUACAACUCCAAUCUGUUGCUUAAAGUGGGGUGGAGUGAGGGAAAAGGCUUUUUUUCCCCCAAUGGGAUUUAGGCAAUGUUAGAAAGGGGUGGAAAUGCUCCCCUGCAGAUUGCGUGAUGGCUCAAAUAAAACCUGCUGGGUUUCCCUUGGUUCCUCACAUCCGUACAUUCUGCUGCUACGAAUGCUUCACCCCAUGUGCAAAAGCCAAUUUACAGCCCCCAACCACGUGUGUACCCCUGCAAGCAAGCCUCAAGCGAGAAAGCAAAUUGGUCUGUGCCCUCUCUUCUCAGCUCAUCUAAGUAUGGAAUGAUUACACUGAAGUCUUCAAUUUUCAGUCCCAACGCUUUAAAUCAGACUUACACCCACACCUCCUAGUUAUGCUACUUGCACAGUCACUGCCCAGCUUCUUGUUCUCUCCGUGGCCAAAGGAUAGGAAGCAAAGAUACCUCCUUGAAAGCAGGUGGCUUAGUCCACUCACCUUUAUGAAUGAGCUUUUGAUACACCUCCCACCAGUGCAAUAGCCCAAACUCCCACCUCUAUAUUUUUAUGUAUAGGCUGUCUCAAAUGCAUGUGUGUGUGUUUUAGGUUAUCAAGUGUUUAAUUUAUUGUCUGACAAUGAUCAUUCGAAAUAAAUUUCCAGUAAUGGUCUCCUUUCAUACAUAGUAAUAAGAGGCUCUUUGGUCCUGCUUGGGUAUGGUCUUGGAGAGGGAAAAUGGCAAUAGUGAACAAGCUGGUUUAUUUGAAAGGAAUUUGCUAUUCCUCAUUUUAUCAGUGAACCCUAGCCGACACCGGAACACAGUUUAAGGGGGAUGGAAUGAGGCUAAAGUGGAGAGGUGUAAAAAUCUGCACCAUAAAACAAAAGGCCCUUACAUUAUUUCUUCUGCACUUAAUGUAUAAAUAGAAAGACCAUUUACCCAGAUAGUACAAAGCUGAGCUAUGCUUCAGAAUGCCAUUUGAGUGUCAGGAAAACCAGGCACUGACUAAACUGUACAACGGGGUGAAUCAACUCUAUCAGCUUUAGAACUCCUGUACCUUUUAGAUAACUGCUUUACUGCAUAUGUAAUUUCCACUAAAAAUAGCUGCACCUGUCAUAAUUCCCUCAC